RNAcentral lists this ribosomal RNA (480 nucleotides) under uncultured bacterium. RNAcentral describes it as "partial 16S ribosomal RNA". It matches the Rfam family "Bacterial small subunit ribosomal RNA", at positions 28 to 507 of the family's 1533-position model. The record is from RNAcentral.
GACGAACGCUGGCGGCGUGCUUAACACAUGCAAGUCGAACGAUGAAGAAAAGAAUCGAAGCUUCGGCAGAAAUUCAUUUCGGAUUAGUGGCAGACGGGUGAGUAACGCGUGAGCAACCUACCUCUUACAAAGGGAUAGCCUCGGGAAACCGGGAUUAAUACCAUAUAACAUUGUGACGAAGCAUUUCGAUGCAAUCAAAGCUACGGCGGUAAGAGAUGGGCUCGCGUCCCAUUAACCGGAUGGUGGGGUAACGGCUCACCAUAGUGACGAUGGGUAACCGGGCUGAGAGGGUGAACGGUCACACUGGAACUGAGACACGGUCCAGACUCCUACGGGAGGCAGCAGUGGGGAAUAUUGCACAAUGGAGGGAACUCUGAUGCAGCGACGCCGCGUGAGUGAUGAAGGAAUUCGUUUCGUAAAACUCUGUUCUAUGGGAAGAAAAGGACUGUACCAUAGGAGAAAGCUCCGGCUAAAUACGUG